AGAGUUUGAUCAUGGCUCAGGAUAAACGCUGGCGGCGUGCCUAACACAUGCAAGUCGAACGCCCUGGUGCUCUUCGGAGCGCGAGGGAGUGGCGGACGGGUGAGUAACACAUGGGUGACCUACCCCCCAGUGAGGAAUACCGGCGAGAAAUCGCCGACAACACCGCAUAGGCUUGCUUGAGUAAAGACGAGCAAGCAAAGUCGCAAGACGCUGAGGGAUGGGCCUGUGGCCGAUUAGCUGGUUGGUGAGGUAAGAGCCCACCAAGGCGACGAUCGGUAGCUGGUCUGAGAGGACGAUCAGCCACACUGGGAUUGAGAACGGCCCAGACUCCUACGGGGGGCAGCAGUGAGGAAUUUUCGCAUGUCGCAGACUGACCGGAGCAACGCCGCGUGCAGAGACGCUUUCGAGUGUAACUGCUUUCUGUGGGACGAGAUGACGUACACAGGAAGAAGCCCGGCUAACUAUGUGCCAGCAGCCGCGGUAAUACAUAGGGGCGAGCGUUGUCCAGAGUUACUGGGCGUAAAGGGCACGCAGGCGGUGCGGCGCGUUUCGCGUGACAGCGGAGGGCUUACCUCUCCGAGGAUGCGAAAGACGGCGGCACUUGAGGGCCAGAGAGGGACACGGAAUUCCGGGUGGAGUGGUGAAAUGCGUAGAGAUCCGGAGGAACACCGAAGGCGAAGGCAGUGUCCUGGCUGGUGACUGACGCUGAGGUGCGAAAGCUAGGGGAGCGAACGGGAUUAGAUACCCCGGUAGUCCUAGCCGUAAACGAUGACCACCAGGUGUGGGAGGUAUCGACCCCUUCCGUGCCGGAGUUAACACACUAAGUGGUCCGCCUGGGGAGUACGGUCGCAAGAUUAAAACUCAAAGGAAUUGACGGGGACCCGCACAAGCAGCGGAGCGUGUGGUUUAAUUCGAUGCGACGCGCAGAACCUUACCAGGGCUUGACAUGCGCCUGCACCACCUGGAGACAGGUGUCCCUUCGGGGCGGGCGCACAGGUGCUGCAUGGCUGUCGUCGGCUCGUGCCGUGAGGUGUUGGGUUAAGUCCCGCAACGAGCGCAACCCCUGUGCUCGGUUAGGAUGUCCGAGCAGACUGCCACGCUAAACGUGGAGGAAGGUGGGGAUGACGUCAAGUCAGCACGGCCCUUACGUCCUGGGCGACACACACGCUACAAUGGCCGAGACAACGGGUGGCCAACCCGCGAGGGGGAGCUAAUCCCAGCAAACUCGGUCGUAGUUCGGAUGGUAGGCUGCAACCCGCCUGCCUGAAGCCGGAGUUGCUAGUAACCGUGGGUCAGCACACCACGGUGAAUACGUUCCCGGGUCUUGUACACACCGCCCGUCACACCACGAAAGUCGGCAACACCUGAAGCCGCUGGGCUAACUCGCGAGAGAGGCAGGCGUCGAGGGUGGGGUUGGUGAUUGGGGUGAAGUCGUAACAAGGUAACCGU
Molecule: ribosomal RNA, 1449 nt
Filed under: uncultured bacterium
Lineage: Bacteria
Description: bacterial SSU rRNA
Rfam family: Bacterial small subunit ribosomal RNA
Source: RNAcentral